Molecule: small nuclear RNA, 190 nt
Organism: Phyllostomus hastatus (greater spear-nosed bat)
Lineage: Eukaryota; Metazoa; Chordata; Mammalia; Chiroptera; Phyllostomidae
Product: U2 spliceosomal RNA
Exons: 1
Source: RefSeq, a predicted model, not a curated record
AUUGCUUCUUGGCCUUUUGGCUAAGAUCAAGCAUAGUAUCUGUUCUUAUCAGUUUAAUAACUGAUAUGACUCUAUCCAAGGAAAAUAUAUUAAAUGGAGAUUUGGAGCAGGGAGACAGAAUAGAAGUUUGCUCUGUUCAUUCCAUGCAUUGACCCAGUAUUGCAAUACUUCUGGGAAUAAUGGGAAAAAA